RNAcentral lists this ribosomal RNA (497 nucleotides) under uncultured bacterium. RNAcentral's name for it is "partial 16S ribosomal RNA". It matches the Rfam family "Bacterial small subunit ribosomal RNA", at positions 28 to 507 of the family's 1533-position model. The record is from RNAcentral.
GAUGAACGCUGGCGGCGUGCCUAAUACAUGCAAGUCGAGCGAACAGACGAGGAGCUUGCUCCUCUGAUGUUAGCGGCGGACGGGUUAGUAACACGUGGAUAACCUACCUAUAUGACUGGGAUAACUUCGGGAAACCGGAGCUAAUACCGGAUAACAUGUUGAACCGCAUGGUUCAACAGUGAAAGACGGUCUUGCUGUCACUUAUAGAUGGAUCCGCGCCGCAUUAGCUAGUUGGUAAGGUAACGGCUUACCAAGGCAACGAUGCGUAGCCGACCUGAGAGGGUGAUCGGCCACACUGGAACUGAGACACGGUCCAGACUCCUACGGGAGGCAGCAGUAGGGAAUCUUCCGCAAUGGGCGAAAGCCUGACGGAGCAACGCCGCGUGAGUGAAGAAGGUCUUCGGAUCGUAAAACUCUGUUAUUAGGGAAGAACAAAUGUGUAAGUAACUAUGCACGUCUUGACGGUACCUAAUCAGAAAGCCACGGCUAACUACGUG